CGAAGUGAACGCAUUAAGGGUAGACGGAGGAUGCCUUGGCAUCAUAGAACGAUGAAGGACGCGGCGUAACUGCGAUAAGCUUCGGGGAGGCGUGUAGCAGCCUUUGAUCCGGAGAUGUCCGAAUGGGGAAACCUACUAUAGUGAACCUAUAGUGCUUUAUGUGGUAACUCUACAUAUUGCGUAUACUCUGGGAAGUGAAACAUCUCAGUACCAGAAGGAAAAUAGACAAAUUGCAUUUCCUUAGUAGCGGCGAGCGAAACGGAAGAAGCCCAAACUCAGUGUGAGCAUUCGCAAGAAUGUUUCGUUGAGGGUUGUAAGGCAGAGACAAUUGUAUGAGUUCAGUAGUGUACGAUGCUUCGUACGUUGCUGAACUCCAAUACAAAGGAAGUUACAAAUUCAUGUGCUAGCUGAAUCAAAUGGAAAUUUGAGCCAAAGGAGGUGAUAGCCCUGUAGGCGAAAGCGUAUGAACUUUCUUGUUUUUGUUCUUGAGUACCUCGAGGCCAAAAUACCUUGAGGGAAUCCGCCAGUACUAUCUGGCAAGGCUAAAUAUCUAUGAUGACCGAUAGUGAACUAGUACCGUGAGGGAAAGGUGAAAAGCAGCCCGGCAAGGGCGAUGAAAUAGAAACUGAAACCGUCUACUUACAAGGAACAGGGGCUCUAAGUAAUAUUCGCAAGAAUAUUACGGAGUGACUGUGUGCCUAUUGAAGAAUGAGCCAACGAGUUUACGUAUAUUGCCAUGUUUAAUUCCGUUCUACGGAAGAAGGCGCAGCGAAAGCGAGUCUUAACAGGGCGUUACUUUCUUAACUUGCAGUGCACACUUCGGUGUGUGUUGCGAGUUACGAAUAGUUAGCAGUAUGCGUAAGACCCGAAACCAGAUGAGCUUACCUUGGCCAGGGUGAAGCCCCGCGAAAUCGGGGUGGAGGCCCGCACCGUUGAGCCGUGCAAAACUCUCGGAUGAGCUGAGGUAAGGAGUGAAAAGCUAAUCGAAUUUGGUAAUAGCUGGUUCUCUCCGAAAUAGUUUUAGGACUAGCCUCUCGUGUUUCUUUUUGGAGGUAGAGCACUGGACGAUCGUGAAAGGGAGAAAUCUCGCGCGAUCAAUCAAACUCCGAAUGCCAAAAAGUAAGAACGAGGGAGUCAGACUGCGGGGGCUAAGCUCCGUGGUCGCAAGGGAAACAGCCCAGAUCGCCGUCUAAGGUCCCCAAAUGUAUGCUAAGUGUGUAAGGUAGUCAUUAUCCAUUGACAGAUAGAAGGUUGGCUUAGAGGUAGCCAUCCUUUAAAGAGUGUGUAACAACUCACUAUUCGAGGAUCGUGGCGCCGAAAAUUUACCGGGGCUAAGCAUGCUACCGAAGACGCGGAUUUAUACAUUUUUAAUGUAUGAGUGGUAGGAGAGCAUUUCUUGCAGCUGUGAAGGUCGAUCCGUGAGGACGACUGGAGCGCAAGGAAGAGAUAAUGUUGGCACGAGUAAUCGCUAUGCAUGUGAAAACCAUGCACCCCGCAAAUCCAAGGUUUCCUCCGCAACGAACAUCGACGGAGGGUGAGUCGGCCCUAAGGCAAUGGCGAAAGCCGCAGCUGAUGGACAGCUGGUUAAUAUUCCAGCACACCGACCAGGAGAUACCGAUGAAGAUACGAAUGAGAAAAGUCUGAGCGCCUUAUUGGUUUGGCGUUCUUGGUGUUAAGGGACGUAUUCCAGGCAAAUCCGGAAUACUAUGUUUAAUCAUGAGUCUCGCGCAUCGAUUAACGGUUUGGGUUUUCCCGAGCCAAUUCAGACGAAGUGCAUUCCGAGAAAUACUUCUAAGGUGCGCCUGGCCGGUUCCGUACCGUAAACCGCCACAGGUGGAUGAGGCGAGUAGCCUCAGGGGAACGGGUGAUUCUUCGUUAAGGAACUCGGCAAAAAAGCUAGGCGUAACUUAGGGAUAAGCCUUCCCUGCUGUUUACAGCAGGGCGCAGCGAAAGUUUCUUUGGCGACUGUUUAACAAAAACACAGCUCCCUGCGAACUCGUAAGAGGAUGUAUAGGGGGUGACGCCUGACCGAUGCGAGAAGGUUAACGAUGGGGGUGAAUUCCGCAAGGGAUUUGCUCACUGUCCGAAGCCCUCGUCAAUGUCCGCGGUAACUAUAACCGUGUUAAAGUAGCGCAAUUCCUUUUCGGGUAAGUUCCGAAGCGCAUGAAAGGCGUAACGAUCGAAGAACUGUCUCAACGAAGAGCCCGAUGAAAGUGCGAUUCCCGUGAAGACGCGGGGUACUGGCAACUAGACGAAAAGACCCCGGAAGCUUUACUGCAACUUGAUAUUGAUAAUAAUGGGUGAUUGCGUAGCAUAGUGAGGAGCCAUUGAAGUUCCGUUUUCGGAUGGGGCAGAGGCGACAGUGAAAUACUCAUCUUUUAUUUGUUAUUAUCUAACCUGUGUGGAAAAAACAUAUGGGGACAGUGUCUGGUGGGCAGUUUUUCUGGGGCGGAACCCUCCCAAAAGGUAACGGAGGGGUUUAUUAAGGUCAGCUUAGCGCGGAUGGAAAUCGCGCAGGACGUGUAAAGGCACAAGCUGGCUUGACUGCAAGGCCGACAAGCCGCGCAGGUGCGAAAGCAGAACUUAGCGACCCGACUAUUCAUCAUAGAAAGGUAGGAGAUAACGGCUAAAAGUUACUCCGGGGAUAACAGGCUGGUGAGAUCCGAGAGUUCCCAUCGACGAUCUCGCUCGGCACCUCGAUGUCGGCUCACCACAUCCCGGGGCUGGAGAAGGUCCCAAGGGUAUGGCUGUUCGCCAUUUAAAGUGGUACGUGAGCUGGGUUCAAACCGUCGUGAGACAGGUUGGUCUCUAUCUGUUGUCAGCGUGGAUGCUUGAGGGAAGUCGACCCUAGUACGAGAGGACCGGGUUGAACGAAUCUCUGGUGUAUCGGCUUUGCUACCAAGUGAACUGCCGAGUAGCUAUAUUCGGACGGGAUAAGCGCUGAAAGCAUCUAAGCGCGAAGCCUCUCCCAAGAUUAGGCAUCAUGAACUCCUGGAAGACUACCAGGUUGAUAGGCUCUAGAUGUAAGCGUGGUAACACGUUCAGUCGAGGAGUACUAAUCAGUUCAGCG
The sequence is a ribosomal RNA, 3070 nucleotides long. It matches the Rfam family "Bacterial large subunit ribosomal RNA".